AGAGUUUGAUCCUGGCUCAGAACGAACGCUGGCGGCAGGCUUAACACAUGCAAGUCGAGCGCCCCGCAAGGGGAGUGGCAGACGGGUGAGUAACGCGUGGGAAUCUACCCUUCUCUACGGGAUAGCUCCGGGAAACUGGAAUUAAUACCGUAUACGUCCUGAGGGAGAAAGAUUUAUCGGGGAAGGAUGAGCCCGCGUUGGAUUAGCUAGUUGGUGGGGUAAAGGCCUACCAAGGCGACGAUCCAUAGCUGGUCUGAGAGGAUGACCAGCCACAUUGGGACUGAGACACGGCCCAAACUCCUACGGGAGGCAGCAGUGGGGAAUAUUGGACAAUGGGCGCAAGCCUGAUCCAGCCAUGCCGCGUGAGUGAUGAAGGUCUUAGGAUUGUAAAGCUCUUUCAGUGGGGACGAUAAUGACGGUACCCACAGAAGAAGCCCCGGCUAACUUCGUGCCAGCAGCCGCGGUAAUACGAAGGGGGCUAGCGUUGUUCGGAAUUACUGGGCGUAAAGCGCACGUAGGCGGAUAUUUAAGUCGGGGGUGAAAUCCCGGGGCUCAACCCCGGAACUGCCUUCGAUACUGGGUAUCUUGAGUUCGGAAGAGGUGAGUGGAAUUGCGAGUGUAGAGGUGAAAUUCGUAGAUAUUCGCAGGAACACCAGUGGCGAAGGCGGCUCACUGGUCCGAUACUGACGCUGAGGUGCGAAAGCGUGGGGAGCAAACAGGAUUAGAUACCCUAGUAGUCC
This 740-nucleotide ribosomal RNA is filed under the name uncultured bacterium. RNAcentral's name for it is "bacterial SSU rRNA". It matches the Rfam family "Bacterial small subunit ribosomal RNA", at positions 8 to 796 of the family's 1533-position model. The record is from RNAcentral.